UAAACACCUCAACCUCUCUUUUUGACAAAAAAAGGGAGGGUGGACUUGAGCUAUCCCAACGACCUUCACCGGUAGGCGGGCGGCUUGAAAUGCAGGUGCAGCUGGACUUUUAUCUGAGCUAAAAGCAUAUCUAUUUAGUCCUCGUCAAACAGGAUUAUUACUUUUGCUGCAGCUAACAUAAAGGAUAAUUGUCCUCUUUGCUGACUGAUGCAGGAUUUUACGACACUUUAUGUGUUGUUCA
Molecule: unclassified non-coding RNA, 241 nt
Filed under: uncultured Tomentella
Lineage: Eukaryota; Fungi; Basidiomycota; Agaricomycetes; Thelephorales; Thelephoraceae
Description: partial internal transcribed spacer 2
Source: RNAcentral